RNAcentral lists this long non-coding RNA (530 nucleotides) under Ananas comosus (pineapple). RNAcentral describes it as "long non-coding RNA (ACOM_LNC044720)". Lineage: Eukaryota; Viridiplantae; Streptophyta; Magnoliopsida; Poales; Bromeliaceae. The record is from RNAcentral.
AUUUGGCUAUCCCCAACCUUUCAAAAUUUUGAUUUUACUAUCUGAAAUACCACUUUGAUCUCAAAAUUUGAAUGUGUCAUUUAUCUUUAUAGGUUUAGUUAGUAUAUUUCAUGCAAUCUCCCAAUUAUAAGUUUAUUGAAAUAAGUAAUUAGUUUAAAUUUUAUAGCAAAUUAUUAUUGACUGACUUAAACCAAAUAAAUUUAAAAAUUGUAUAAUAAAAUCAAAAUUAAUUUUGAAAAGUAAGAUAGCUGAUUCAAAACCGUCCAAAGUUCGUACAAGUUCGGUGUGUUUUACCUUUUAAGUUAACCACAUCUCGAAUACACCCUUUCCAGAAUCGAUUCUGCCAAGAUCAAAUAUAAAUAUUUUAAUAUAAUAGAUAGGUUGAGUGAUUUUACAAGUACGAUGAGUUGCGAUUUUAAGUACAUUAGCGACAUAGAGCUAUAAAAUUGGUGAAUAUAUAUAGAUGGAAUAUUUCAAUCCGAUUUUCGAUUGCUUUGUAACAAGUAACUGUAACUAAAAGCAGAAGCAGA